Myotis davidii is the source of this 141-nucleotide non-coding RNA. Lineage: Eukaryota; Metazoa; Chordata; Mammalia; Chiroptera; Vespertilionidae. The record is from Rfam.
UGCCUGGCAAUGGGCAAAGAGAAACCUGAUUGGUGGUGUUGCUCUUAUAUCAGUCAGAAGCAAAGCAAACACACUCCUUAGUUCAGCCUAAUUUGAUGCCUGUGUUGGUGGCCAGAGUUGUUUUAUGCCCGGGAAACAUUA